AGAUUGAGCGCUGGCGGCAUGCCUAACACAUGCAAGUCGAACGGGAGUAGCAAUACUCUAGUGGCGGACGGGUGAGGAAUACGUAGGAAUUUGCCCUUAAGUGGGGGAUAACCCGGGGAAACCCGGAUUAAUACCGCAUGACCUCGAAAGAGCAAAGUGGGGGAUCGCAAGACCUCACGCUUUUGGAGAAGCCUACGUCGGAUUAGCUAGUUGGUGAGGUAAUGGCUCACCAAGGCGACGAUCCGUAACUGGUCUGAGAGGAUGAUCAGUCACACCGGAACGAGACGACGGU
RNAcentral lists this ribosomal RNA (292 nucleotides) under uncultured soil bacterium. RNAcentral's name for it is "partial 16S ribosomal RNA". It matches the Rfam family "Bacterial small subunit ribosomal RNA", at positions 26 to 330 of the family's 1533-position model. The record is from RNAcentral.